RNAcentral lists this transfer RNA (365 nucleotides) under uncultured Microcystis sp. Its description in RNAcentral is "partial 16S-23S ribosomal RNA intergenic spacer". The stretch from base 136 to 209 matches the Rfam family "tRNA". The record is from RNAcentral. Lineage: Bacteria; Bacillati; Cyanobacteriota; Cyanophyceae; Chroococcales; Microcystaceae.
AAAGGGAGACCUAAUUCGGGUAGGAGACGAAAAAAAAGUAGUCCCUACCAAGAAUCAAUCCCAAAAGGUCGGAGCGAGGCGAAAUUGGCUUUCAAACUAGGUUCUGGGUUCACACAAGACCUGAAUCAGGAACAAGGGCUAUUAGCUCAGGUGGUUAGAGCGCACCCCUGAUAAGGGUGAGGUCCCUGGUUCGAGUCCAGGAUGGCCCACCUGCACAGGUGGCAAAAACAAAGAAAAGAAGCUCCGAAUCAGCACCUUAUCUUACUUAUAUAGUAAGAGAGAAUGCUGGCUCUGAGUACAGAGUCCAGAGGAACCUUGAAAACUGCAUAGAGCUAGGUGAAAAAGCCAAAAAAGAAGACCGCAAG